Long non-coding RNA from Anolis carolinensis (green anole), 1271 nucleotides. RefSeq lists it as uncharacterized. The transcript has 3 exons. The record is from RefSeq and is a predicted model, not a curated record. NCBI's taxonomy places the organism in Eukaryota, Metazoa, Chordata, Lepidosauria, Squamata, Anolidae.
AGGAGGCUUCUCUCAUGUCCCCGCAUGGAGCUGGAGCUGAUAGAAGGAGCUCAUCUGCAUUCUCCCCAGGUUGGAUUUGAACCAUCACCCUUCAGCUGUUAUGGUUCUGGCAAAAGGAAAACAACCACAAACCACAAGCAAACUGAUACCUACAAUGAUGCUCUGAGCAACAGGGAUUUCCCACUUGUUAGUUCUUGAAUGAAAUCUUGAAGUGAUAAAAGGUGUAGAGCAGAAGCAGUCAGGGAAAGCUACAUGCAAGUAAAAGCCACAUGCCAUUUGGCCUUUUGUUGUGAUUGCAAAGGCCUGGAAGCCAAAAUGCUGGAAGUUUUGAAAUUGUGCUCAUGCAAUAAACAUUUAUAUAUUUUAACCAUGGGUAUGUUUAUAUGAAGCAACUUCUGUAAGAUCCUGUGAUGACUCAUGGGCCAUGUAGUCCCGUUCCCAGUACUAUUGUGGCAGAUGAAGAGGAAAACUUGGGUUUCCCACCGUUUCAGCCAGAAUUGGAGCCCUUGCACCUGCAAGAUGUUUGCCCACCAGAAGUCAGCCAAACAAGCCUUGAGCAGAAAUCUCCCCCAUUUUCUCGCCGGGAUUAUUAUAAUCGAGAUAGAGGCGCUCGGGAGGUGACUCGCAGGAGCGCCAGGAUAGCUGCCAGACAAUUAGCUGAUUAAGUCUGUUUCCCUUGGGAAACUUUAAGGAGUCAUGCAUCUGGACACAGUAUGGGUUUCGUUUCUUGUUCCCCAGGGAAAGUGUUCCUUGGCGGGAAAACAAGAUCCUAUAUAGGUGUUUGCCCGCAAAGAAAUCCUUGCGGAGUCAAUUCGUCACCUUGUGGAGUGAGAUCGUGUGUGGACUACGCUACUCCAGUCCCUUGCCUCCAGGACCAAGUUCCAAGCCUUGUUUCACGGACCUUGUUCUAGCAUCAAGCUUUCCUUGUUCCACGGACCUCGCCACGGACCCUGUUCUUGCUUAUUGUCUUUUGUAGCCACGUAUCAAGCCUUGUUGCCAAGAAUCUAGUUUGCUUCCAGCCUUGUUGUCAAGCUUCAUUGGACUAAAGGACCCUGUCAUUUCCCCACACUUUGCCUGGCAAAGUGUGUGUUUCGGUUAUUGGAUUAUAACUUUGGACUCUAAUAUCACAUAUUGGACAUUGUUUUCCUGGACUAUAUUUGACCUUUCCUGAAAGGUCUACUUCUGAACUAUAUUCUUCACUUGUUUUUAUUGACUUUAUAUAUUCCUUUAAUAAAGAUAUUAGAUAGAUUCUGGUCUCCGUGCAUGGUUAU